AGGAUUAACGCUGGCGGCGUGCCUAACACAUGCAAGUCGAACGAGGUAGCAAUACCUAGUGGCAGACGGGUGAGUAGCGCGUGGUCAACCUACCGUUGAGUGGGGGAUAACUAGCCGAAAGGUUAGCUAAUACCGCAUACGUCUCCGAGGGGCAUCCCUUGGCGAUAAAAGGAGCAAUCCGCUCGAUGACGGGACCGCGUCCCAUUAGCUAGUUGGUGGGGUAACGGCCUACCAAGGCAUCGAUGGGUAGCUGGUUUGAGAGAGCGACCAGCCACACUGGGACUGAGAUACGGCCCAGACUCCUACGGGAGGCAGCAGUGAGGAAUUUUCCGCAAUGGGCGAAAGCCUGACGGAGCGACGCCGCGUGUGGGAAGAAGGCCUUCGGUCGUAAACCACUGUCGAAGGGGAAGAUAAUGACGGUACCUUGGAGGAAGCCCGGCUAACUACGCGCCAGCAGCCGC
This 461-nucleotide ribosomal RNA is filed under the name uncultured bacterium. RNAcentral describes it as "SSU rRNA". It matches the Rfam family "Bacterial small subunit ribosomal RNA", at positions 26 to 518 of the family's 1533-position model. The record is from RNAcentral.